CUUAAGUGAAUGUGGUUUCACUGUACUUAUGUAAAGGAUCAAUUAAGAUAAUCUUGGAUUAAUCCCAUUACACUCUUUGGUCUUGUUUAUGGCUUUCUUUGUUGUCAAAUUCACACAAACUGUGAAAAAACAGUAUCCUGUUUGUAGUAGCGUCAUUACCAUGUGCUACAGAAUUUCCUCCCCUGUAAAAAUGUAAAUAUAUCCUUUAUUGUGUCCCUCUGCUUACAGAUAUUCCAAAGAUUUUGUAUAAUGUUGCUUUAAAAAUAUUGUUCUUUAGGUUCUGAUUUUAUACAUCAAGGGUCGCCUUGAUAUGCUUCUGUGAAAUUUGUGGUGGUGCAAGCAAAAUAAACUUUCAGACUUAAUUUUUAGGAAUAUCAAGAUUUCUGGGAGGGAAUCUAACUUAGAAAUUUUAAUUCCUAAUGAAGAUUAAAAAAUGGGACUCUUGGUUAUCUGCUAUGAGUGAGUUUACCAAAUGAGACUGUACAAAGCACCCUAAAGUAAAGUGCACUUACCAUUUUCAGUUCAAAACUAUUAGCACAACAUUUAUGGGAUCAUAAAAGUACUUCUUGUUAAAAGAAUGCUUUGAUGAGCAAACCUGCUGAGAGCACUGAGAAGUACGGUAGUUUUGUAAUUUCAAGUCGAGCUGUGAUCAUAUUUUUGAUGUGUCAGUACGAAGUGGAGAAAUCUGUUUCAUUUCAAGAAAAAGUGCGUCUGAUUCAUUUUCACUCGGUCAAUUGCUGUGGCUAAUCCAGACGCAUUCUCAGCUUGCAGUCUUUCUUGCGUGUUGUGUUUUUUACACUUUUCCCUUAAAGGCAGGCCUGGAAAGUAGCGUUUUCUGUAGAUGUCAGCUUCUGUCUGGUGUGAUGCUCCAUUCUUCUGGUGAUGUCACGUGCAGCACUGAGUAAUACUGGAAAACUGAAGAGGUCUCUUAGAAUAAGGUGUCCACCUGCCAUUCAGUUUUGCAGUGGGAUCAUUUGUAUCACUUCACAAAUUGCUGAUGUUAGAAUUUGCUUACUUUUUGGUGGAUUCUGCUCAUGCUUCCAGCUGAUGUGAAUGUGGGAUCUCAGAAUAACAAGCCAUAAGGAAAAUCUUAUACAAAGGUCUUUAGAAUAAUGCUUUAUCUAUAGAUAUUUUUCAAUUUCAAAAUUUUGAAUUUUCAGUUCAAAAGAUUUUGAUUUUGAAUGUAGGGCAUCUAGUACACAUCCGUGUAAACUGGACAUAUGUUUUCAGUUUACAAAAAGGGGUGAACUAUGAAAAGUGAAAUAUUCAAGAAUAUUUGCCAGAAGUGUGAAAUACAAGUAUGGAUGGCUGCUAAAGUUUGAAUUAGUAGAAAUUAGUCAAAUCACUGUAUUAUCAAAAAGCACCAAUUUACCAGCACAUUUAAAAUAAAGCAGGUGAUACUGGCCUAGCUUUUCUAUAA
This 1420-nucleotide long non-coding RNA is filed under the name Numida meleagris (helmeted guineafowl). Its description in RNAcentral is "lncRNA (ENSNMEG00000010568.1)". Lineage: Eukaryota; Metazoa; Chordata; Aves; Galliformes; Numididae. The record is from RNAcentral.